ACCCAAAAGAUCGAAUGGGGAGAUUCAUCGUCAGCUCAUUUUGUAUAUAUAUAAGUUAUGAUGCGGGUUACUACUUGUAGUAUUGCUUGCACAUUCUUAUAUAUUUAGUUGCAAGAUGUUGUCGGCGUGCACUUCUCUCCUAGUAGGACGUCGCGACCCGUUGGGUGUCGGUCUACGACCCAAAUGGUAGUCUUUAAUAUUUUAAAAUAAUAUUAAAAUCCAUUGGUGUUUUCUGACCGGCUACUCGGCGGUACACGUACGGUAUUAAGCCGCAAUAAUAAUGCGUCCAUUCCCGUCGCAAGCGAGGUCAAUUUUACUGAUAGUACGGACCUAGUGCCGUCGUUGGUAUUGGCCAGCUGUUGGUUGUACGGUGUACUAGGACUGGCUUAAAUAUUAUAAAAAUACCGGUCAGCGAUGCUACUGCUUUGGGUACUUUCAGGACCCGUCUUGAAACACGGACCAAGGAGUCUAACAUGUGCGCGAGUCAUUGGGAUUAUUUUUUUAAAUUAAACCUAAAGGCGUAAUGAAAGUAAAGGUCGUCCUUGCGUCGACUGAGGGAGGAUGAGUUAUGUUAUGAUAUAGCUCCGCACUCCCGGGGCGUCUCAUUCUUAUUAUAAGAAGAGGCGCACUUAG
This 633-nucleotide ribosomal RNA is filed under the name Myocron sp. 3 AZR-2008. RNAcentral's name for it is "eukaryotic LSU rRNA". It matches the Rfam family "Eukaryotic large subunit ribosomal RNA", at positions 386 to 798 of the family's 3401-position model. Lineage: Eukaryota; Metazoa; Arthropoda; Insecta; Hymenoptera; Braconidae. The record is from RNAcentral.